Gorilla gorilla gorilla (western lowland gorilla) is the source of this 381-nucleotide long non-coding RNA. RefSeq lists it as uncharacterized. The transcript is spliced from 2 exons. Lineage: Eukaryota; Metazoa; Chordata; Mammalia; Primates; Hominidae. The record is from RefSeq and is a predicted model, not a curated record.
UGAUUUGCAGGGUUUGGGGAAGGUUCCCUGUCCCUAAAGCAUCAUUCCGUCCCGCUCUGGUGCUGUGCACAGAGCUCGACUAUCCUGAAACCACCAUGAUUCGACCUCAUGUCAGUCCUUUGGCUGCCAGCCCAGUUCAACUCCAAGCUGAUGACCAGUGUCGACUGCCAGUCAUUCUGAACAUUUGACCAGUUGAGCUUUCAAAUGAUGGCAGUCCUGGCUGACAUUUUGUGUGAACAACAUGAGAGACUGGCUGGUUGAGCCCUUCCCAAAUUUCUGACCCACUACAUUGUGAGAAAAAUAAUCUUAAGCCUCUCAGUUUAGGGACAAUUUGUUACUCAGCAAUAGAAAUGAAAAUAUGAUCUCAGUAGGACCAUGUGA